UACGGAGGGUGCAAGCGUUGUCCGGAAUCAUUGGGCGUAAAGCGUUCGUAGGCGGCAUAUCAAGUCUGGUGUUAAAGCCUGGGGCUCAACCCCAGUUCGGCACUGGAUACUGGUAAGCUAGAAUGAGGUAGAGGUAAUGGGAAUUCCUGGUGUAGCGGUGAAAUGCGUAGAUAUCAGGAGGAACACCGGUGGCGUAAGCGCAUUACUGGGCCUUUAUUGACGCUGAGGAACGAAAGCCGGGGGAGCAAAUGGG
Molecule: ribosomal RNA, 253 nt
Filed under: uncultured bacterium
Lineage: Bacteria
Description: partial 16S ribosomal RNA
Rfam family: Bacterial small subunit ribosomal RNA
Source: RNAcentral